AUUGAACGCUGGCGGCAGGCUUAACACAUGCAAGUCGAACGAUGACUCUCUAGCUUGCUAGAGAAGAUUAGUGGCGGACGGGUGAGUAACAUUUAGGAAUCUGCCUAGUAGUGGGGGAUAGCUCGGGGAAACUCGAAUUAAUACCGCAUACGACCUACGGGUGAAAGGGGGCGCAAGCUCUUGCUAUUAGAUGAGCCUAAAUCAGAUUAGCUAGUUGGUGGGGUAAAGGCCCACCAAGGCGACGAUCUGUAACUGGUCUAAGAGGAUGAUCAGUCACACCGGAACUGAGACACGGUCCGGACUCCUACGGGAGGCAGCAGUGGGGAAUAUUGGACAAUGGGGGCAACCCUGAUCCAGCCAUGCCGCGUGUGUGAAGAAGGCCUUUUGGUUGUAAAGCACUUUAAGCAGGGAGGAGAGGCUAAUGGUUAAUACCCAUUAGAUUAGACGUUACCUGCAGAAUAAGCACCGGCUAACUCUGUGCCAGCAGCCGCGGUAAUACAGAGGGUGCGAGCGUUAAUCGGAAUUACUGGGCGUAAAGCGAGUGUAGGUGGCUCAUUAAGUCACAUGUGAAAUCCCCGGGCUUAACCUGGGAACUGCAUGUGAUACUGGUGGUGCUAGAAUAUGUGAGAGGGAAGUAGGAUUCCAGGUGUAGCGGUGAAAUGCGUAGAGAUCUGGAGGAAUACCGAUGGCGAAGGCAGCUUCCUGGCAUAAUAUUGACACUGAGAUUCGAAAGCGUGGGUAGCAAACAGGAUUAGAUACCCUGGUAGUCCACGCCGUAAACGAUGUCUACUAGCCGUUGGGGUCCUUGAGACUUUAGUGGCGCAGUUAACGCGAUAAGUAGACCGCCUGGGGAGUACGGCCGCAAGGUUAAAACUCAAAUGAAUUGACGGGGGCCCGCACAAGCGGUGGAGCAUGUGGUUUAAUUCGAUGCAACGCGAAGAACCUUACCUGGUCUUGACAUAGUGAGAAUCUUUCAGAGAUGAGAGAGUGCCUUCGGGAAUUCACAUACAGGUGCUGCAUGGCUGUCGUCAGCUCGUGUCGUGAGAUGUUGGGUUAAGUCCCGCAACGAGCGCAACCCUUUUCCUUAUUUGCCAGCGGGUUAAGCCGGGAACUUUAAGGAUACUGCCAGUGACAAACUGGAGGAAGGCGGGGACGACGUCAAGUCAUCAUGGCCCUUACGACCAGGGCUACGCACGUGCUACAAUGGUAGGUACAGAGGGUUGCUACACAGCGAUGUGAUGCUAAUCUCAAAAAGCCUAUCGUAGUCCGGAUUGGAGUCUGCAACUCGACUCCAUGAAGUCGGAAUCGCUAGUAAUCGCAGAUCAGAAUGCUGCGGUGAAUACGUUCCCGGGCCU
Molecule: ribosomal RNA, 1355 nt
Filed under: uncultured bacterium
Lineage: Bacteria
Description: bacterial SSU rRNA
Rfam family: Bacterial small subunit ribosomal RNA
Source: RNAcentral